CCCCUGACCAGCCCCGGGCUGGUCCCCCCCCCAGGCUGGCCCCGGCAUCCCCGCAACGGCGCGGGCGAUGGGCCGUGCCACCCCGCUCGCACGGUCCCCUGCCGAAGCCCUCGGGGCUCCUGCUCCCCCCGUCCCCCUGCGCCUCCCUGGAGAGCUCCGGCCCCAUCCGCAGGGGCAGCUGCUGGCUCCUAACUCCCCAUCAGCACCCAGCUCGCCCUGUUUCCCGCGGGGGUCGGUACCUCCGAGGACGUGGGCCUUCCUCUUGCGUCCCUUCAGGGUGCUCUGAUGCCCCACAUGGGUCCUGGGGGUGGCAAGGGGGUCAGCGCCUCCCCAGUUCCCUGCUGCACGUGGCCACCGGCCCUGGGGUGAGAAGGGACCCGGGCGGCGCUGGAGAAGCUGCUGCACAAGCGACAAGGCAUCAUCGGGAGCAGAUGUGCUGGGAGCGAUCGCAGCAGUAGCCAUAAUUUGUUUUUCCAGGCAGCUGUCCCUGCCAGCCUCUCACAGAUGAGGGUAAUGUUCACCUCCGCAAGCCCGGCGCUGCCCAGAGCCGCGUUCGGGAGCUGCCAGCCCUGCUGGCACGGCUGCGGGGAGGCUGCCGGCCCCUCUCCGAGCUGCCAGGAGAGCCUGGAGGAUGGAGUUUGCUGCUGCGUUUGCCUGCUUUGGAGCCCCCGGACAUCCCUGGGUGUGAUCGGCUACUCCGGGUUAUCGCUGGUAGCAGCUGGGCCCUUGCGUCUCUGGCGAUUACAGGGAGCUUCUUUCGGGCUGUGCGAGGGCAUGGGAUGGGAAGCUGGAUUCUUGCAGCCUGUGCUUGACCUACAUUAAGAACAAGAUUCAGCAUCAGCCUGUACUGUUUCGUCUGUAUUUCAAGAUGUGCAAUAAACAUGGGGUUAAUCAGCA
RNAcentral lists this long non-coding RNA (897 nucleotides) under Apteryx rowi (Okarito brown kiwi). Its description in RNAcentral is "lncRNA (ENSARWG00000000366.1)". Lineage: Eukaryota; Metazoa; Chordata; Aves; Apterygiformes; Apterygidae. The record is from RNAcentral.